Molecule: small RNA, 134 nt
Filed under: Salmonella enterica
Lineage: Bacteria; Pseudomonadati; Pseudomonadota; Gammaproteobacteria; Enterobacterales; Enterobacteriaceae
Also listed under: 5 other names
Description: RtT sRNA
Rfam family: RtT RNA
About the family: This family represents a bacterial cis-regulatory element known as RtT RNA. The exact function of RtT is unknown although it is thought that it may be involved in changing the cellular response in relation to amino acid starvation.
Source: RNAcentral
UGUAUCGGAAGCCUGACGAGGAUGAGAACCUCCGGGGGCAAGAGGUUCGACCCGAGCGCAGCGAGAGAACGUUGCGUCAGCAACGGCCCGCAGGGCGAGCCACGCAGUGGCGAGUCAUCCUCUAUCACCGACCA